UACGGAGGGUGCAAGCGUUAUCCGGAUUUACUGGGUUUAAAGGGUGCGUAGGUGGGCAGGAAAGUCAGUGGUGAAAUCUUCGGGCUUAACCCGGAAACUGCCAUUGAUACUAUUUAUCUUGAAUACUUUGGAGGUAAGCGGAAUAUGUCAUGUAGCGGUGAAAUGCUUAGAUAUGACAUAGAACACCAAUUGCGAAGGCAGCUUACCACACAGUUAUUGACACUGAGGCACGAAAGCGUGGGGAUCAAACAGG
This 253-nucleotide ribosomal RNA is filed under the name uncultured bacterium. RNAcentral describes it as "partial 16S ribosomal RNA". It matches the Rfam family "Bacterial small subunit ribosomal RNA", at positions 524 to 776 of the family's 1533-position model. The record is from RNAcentral.